CCUGGAAUCAUCUCUCCAGGCCUAUUUCUGUUGUUUUGAGGCAGGGUCUCAUGUAGCUCAGGGUGGUUUCAAUUUCACCACAUGACCUCAGAUGACCUGGAACUCAUUAUCUUCUUGAUUCCACCUCAAGAAUGCUGGCAUGCACCAUCAUUCCCAGCUAAAGCCAUGAAGGCAUGCACCAUCAUUCCCAGCUAAAGCCAUGAAUCCUCAGACAUUAUAGGAGUGAUCAGAACACCAGAGAGCAGAACUCCUGGCCACAGGGCUAUUCUCCCAAAGAGCAUUCUGCAGCUGUACAAGAACUCAGCAAAUCUCUCUAGGUGGACUGGGCAUAGUGAGGAUGGUCAGUUGCAUUUGUUCAAAUUAUGGAUCUGUGGAUUAUCCCCAAAAAGAAUUUAUUGGGGUCCCUUUCUACUAAUAUGCUAUUGCCCAUGAUAGUCAAAAUGAAGAGUAAUUAUCUAUCUAUCUAUCUAUCUAUCUAUCUAUCUAUCUAUCUAUCUAUCUAUCUACCUACCUACCUACCUACCUACCUACCUACCUACCUACCUACCUACCUACCUAGUGUUGGGGAUAAAAAUCUUACUCUACCACUUAGCUACAACCCUCAUCCCUUGAACUAAAUUUUAAGGUUUAAAUACCAUUAAGAUGAAAGAGACAGCAUUUCAUAUUGAGAGAGCAGAUAAAUAAAAUGUCGGUAGGACACAAUAUGAUAGAGAGGUGGGAAAUUAUUGAGGUCACCAGGAGGUUCUUCUAAUGAAAAGGAGAAUUUGUGUGUAGGCAAGUAGAGAUCAAGUUUGCAGAAGGACAGAGGGAGCAGACUAAAGCCUUUGUCAAUGUAACAGAGGAAUUUGGACUGAAAGCCAUGUGCAGCUGCAUUCUUGUGGAGCUCUGGAAGAGAGCCUUGUGUGGAGGGCUAUCUAGGAACAAGAGACCAGUGCUGCAGUGGAAGGAUUGGUAGGUAACUUGGGGAAUGUAUUCAUGCAGCGGAGAACACUGUGUCCUUAUCUAUUGAGGAGAAAGUGGGAAGGCAAAUGCCUACUAACAGAAUGAGGACAGGAGGGGAGGACAUCGUUGGCAUUGACUGUGACUGGAGAUGGAAGUGUUAUCACACAUAGAGAGAUGCGUUCCCAGGGGUAGGGAAUUGCACCUAUCUCUCUUCCCCAGAGGAGCACCUAUGGAUUCCCACAAGGACCAUCAAGAAAGGAACAAAGAACAGCAACUGUGUUCUUAAAGCUGGUGAAAGGCAAAGUGGUACUUUUGAGACUAAUUCCUUCAAAUAUGAAAUAUUAUUGAUUUUAUGGACUGCCUGCUUUAGUCCAUUUUGUGUUUUAUAUCAUUGAGUACUUUAAUUUAAUUUUUGUUAUUGUUAUUCAAGAUGGGGUUUCUCUGUGUAGCCCUGGCUAUCCUGAACUCACUCUGUAGCCCAGGCUGGUCACAAAAAUCUACCUGCCUUUGCCUCCCUAGUGCUGGGAUUAAAGGUAUGUAUCACUGUGGCCUUUACUAAACUAUUUUUUGAGAAACAAAACUGGUAGGAAAAACAGUGAACUCUUUCUAGCUUGAUCAUUAAACCUUGGUCCAUGCUAAUGUGGUCUCUAGUCCCAUUGGGUAGCUUCACAGCCCCCACCAUUCAUACAAAACCUUUCCUACACAGUAUAUUGAGAGCCAAACAGUUGUCCACUUUAUUUUGAACUACCACUCUCAGCUCUCCACUUUCCUCCCAAGAACUCUUUACCCACUGAACUUGGUAUAGACAAGCUAACAGUUACCCUAGCAUGGACAAGCGAGUUUACUAGAAAGCAACAUUUAGAGUCCUACUGUGUUCAUUUUAAUCUGUUUACUCUAAGACAGAGGACCAAUCUAUCUAAAGGAGUAAGACCAAAUGAAUUCAUGUUACAGAGGUCUCUAGUAUACAGUACACUGGAAAUGCUUUGUAAUAAAUGUAGAAGAGCAUAUUUGAAGUGCUUCACUUUUUCUUGUCUAUUGUUUGCUAUUAAUGUUAUAAUUGUCCAUCCAUUACACUAAUCCAACAUCUCUCUUGUAGGAAAUAUCCUAACUGCAAUGAGCUUGAAUUGCUGUCUUCCAGAUUAAAUCAGUUACUUUCCAGGACAGAAGAAGACACACAGGAGUGAACACUACAGGGGGAGAGCGUCUAGGUGGUUGCAGAGUUUAAACACAAUACAGGUCAAUGGAUAUAUGCUGAAUUAGUGAAAGAAUGAUCUAGCGGUGGCAGAGAGAUGGUUCAAUGGACAAAGACAUCUGCCAUGCAUGCGAGGACCUGAGUUCAAAUGCCCAGAGUCUUUGUGAAAGCCAGAUGCCCAGAGCUUCUGUGGGAAGAUGGGAGGCAGAGACAAGAAAACCCUUGGACUUUCCAUGUGACAAGCAGCCUGAUGUACACACCAGAAAACAAGAGAACCUGUCUCAAACAACAUGGAAGAUAUAGAUUUCCUUACUGACUGAGCAGUGAACAGGAGGAGCACAUCAGGCUCUCCAACCCUCUGCUGUCUUAUCUCUACGGUCAGGAGGCCACCGGCUAGAGGAGGAUGGAACUACUACAGUAGCCAGGCAUUAUUGCGUGAUAGCUACUUCAUGGUCCCCACCCAAUGCUGGACACCACUAUGGGUGCAUGUGGAAGCCAGAGGACAAAGUUGGAUUGUGUUUCCCAGUGAGUUUUGGAUUUCCAUGGCUGCCAACCUUCUGCAAUGACACUAGAGAAACAGCCAAGGCCGGAAUUGCUGAAGUCAAAGGGAGGACAUUAACAGAGCACAGCAGCUAAAGAGCAGGAAACCUUGCCUACAUUAAAUAUACAAUCUUCCUUGUUCUGUGAGACAGUGCGUAUGGAUUUGCCAUAUUUUGUUAAUUUUUGUUUUUGGGAUGGGGUUUUACUCUGUAGCUCCCGCUGGCCUGGAACUUGCUAUGUAGACAAGGCUGGACUUGAACUCGUAAGAUCUGACAGCUUCUGCCUCCUGAGCACUGGAACUGAAGGCAAGGGACAUCAGCCUGCCAAGUUAACUUCUUUCAGUGUUUUUUUUCUAUGUCUCUCAGUAGGAAAUCGAUGUGAGUUACAUCAGAACACUGCAACAAUGCUUUUGUCAAUUUUUAGAACAGUAGCUUGCAACUUCAGACCACUGGAUCCUUUCCUGUGGGAGCAAUCACCCACAAGUUAUAGCCUCCUGGGGACUUAACUGCCAUCCCCUUUUCCUCAGUGAUUUGCUGAACAAGGACCUUUGUUUCCCCGUGUGGCUUGGUUGGAUUUUGCUUCUAUGAUGAAGGUACUGAAGGCCAUGCUUAUUGUUCCUUGUCAUUGAAUGGAGGUAAUAAUUGCCAAGUGUAGAGCAGGAUGCUAAAAUUAAGUGAGGGCCUUUUCAAUCAUGGCCCCAUGCACUUCGGUGUGAGGCCCUGCUGGAGAACACGGUGUAAAUCAGUUGAAGAACAUAGUUCUGCAUUUGAGGCAUCAUGGUUUACAGCUCCCAAAUGACCCCCAUCUAUCUUCCUCCACUGCAGAGGUGUAUAAUUGAGCUAAAGAGAGACUUGAGUAAUGUGACUCAGGGUGGCGGUUCCAUCACUGAGACUUAAUAGUGGAACUGCUGCGUGCUUUUUUAUCCUCUGAAAUGUAACGAAAUAGUCGAGGAGACCCAAUUCUUCAGGGUGACACUUGCUGAGAGUCUAUAUUUUAAAAUAGAAAUAGGUUUUGAUAAGCAAAAAAACGAUAAAUCUCUCUCAACAAAAGAGUUCCCUAAAUACAAUUAUACAAGCUGGAACAGCAACCAAUAUGAUACAUGCUGUAACCUGCACUAUAUUUUGUGGAAAAUCGUUUUUUAAGCCUUUAUGUUUAUAGUGCAAUGAAGAGAUGCCUUCGCAGUCUCCUAAGGGUCCAAGAGUGACAGGCAUCCUUCACACUUGGGGCUUCUGGGGGAACUAGAGCCAGGAGACACACAGUGUCUUUUUUUUUUUUUUUCUUGUGGAGAGACUUUGGCUUAGUCAGUGACAUUUAUGAAACUAUUGCUAGUAAAGACUUCAAUUUUCCAAGAAGUUGACUUGUAAACACACACACACACACACACACACACACACACACACACACACACACACCAUACUUAGCUGCAUUUAUCAGACUUCUAUCAUAGAUUGAUGUAUAUGGACAUUUAUGGCAAGUAUAUAAGACUGAAUGAGAGCAUAAUUGUCUCCUCAUGAGAUAGCUGGGAUUAGAGUAUUGACACCAUUAAGAGUUAGUCUCUUAUCACAGCCACUGAAUAUUAAUAAUCAAGGCUACAUAAAGGAUAUCGGGUACUCUGAAGUCAUUAUCUCAUCUCCAAACAAGACCUUAAAACUUUAAAACAAGAUGCCCACUGAUGGAACUUGAAAAUAUCAUCCUGAGUGAGGUAACUCAGUCACAAAAGAACACACAUGGUAUGCACUCACUGAUAAGUGGAUAUUAGCCCAAAAAUUUGGAAUACCCAAGAUUCAAUUCACAGACCAUAUGAAGCCCAAGAAGAAGGAAGACAAAAGUGUGGAUGCUUCAGUGCAUCUUAGAAGGGGGAACAAAAUACUCACAGGAGGAAAUAUGGAGACAAAGGGUGGAGCAGAGACUGAAGGAAAGGCAAUCUAGAGACUGCACCACCUGGGGAUCCAUCCCAUAUACAGUCACCAAACCCGGAUGCUAUUGUGGAUGCCAGGAAGUGUUUGCUGACAGGAGUCUGAUAUGGCUGUCUUCUGAGAGGCUCUGCCAGAGCCUGACAAAUACAGAUGUGCCAGAGCCUGACAAAUACAGAUGUGGAUGCUGGCAGCCAACCAUUGGACUGAGCUCUGGGGUCCUUGAUGGAGGAGUUGGAGAAGGAACUGAAGGAGGUGAAAGGGUUUGCAGCCCUACAGGGGGAACAACAGUGUCAACUGGUCUGACCCCUCAGAGCUCCCAGGGAUUGGACUACAAACCAAAGAGUACACAUGGAGGGACCCAUGGCUCUGGCCACGUAUGUAGCAGAGGAUAGCCUUGUUGGACAUCAGUGGGAGGAGCAGCCCUUGGGUGUGAGGAUGUUUGAUGUCCCAGUGUAGGGGAAUGCCAGAGCCAGAAGAUGGGGAGUGUGUGGGUUGGGGAACACCCUUAUAGAGGCAGGGGAAGAGGGGAUGAGAUAGGGAUUUCUGGAGGGGAGACUUGGAAAGGGAAAAACAUUUGAAAUGUAAAUAAAGAAAAUAUCAAAAAAAAAAAAAAAAAAAAGAAGAAGAAGAAGAUGCCCACUGAUUAAGAGUCCAUUCUGGCUCAUUCAGUUCUACUGUACAAGAUUUUCCUAGGCAAUAUUUAUGCUCCUCUAUAAGAAGAGACUUAUUAAAUGAUAGCAAUAGCAGCCACCACAGGGAGGUUUUAGCACCCAGAAGUUUUAAGCCGUUGAUAUUAUAGAAUUUUGUCUUCUCGAUAACCAGCCAAGUGCUAUCCUUUUACAAAGUCAAGAAAGCAAGGAUGGAGAAGUUAACGACUAAGACUGGAGUUCACAUGGCAGAGCCAACACUAUCUGAAUUCUGCCAAUGUAGAAUAUGUAUCAGACCCAUGGGCUGGAGCUGAAGGGCCUGGGCUGGGCUGUGUGAAGGAGGUGUCUGAAGAGUCUCAUCAGAACUCCUCACUCAGCAUGGCGACACACAGGGUGUGAUGGCGAGUUCUGUCUAUUGUUGAAAAUCAGGUGACAUCACCAAAAAAUCCCUUACAACCCAUCACUUAUGCCACUGAUAGGACAUAGGAGAUCAUCAAGAUCAGAUUUCUUUUUAUAACAAUGUUUUGUCUGUUAUGUGUAGCCUUUGUGGUUAUUUUAUAAAAGCACAGGGUGGGUCAAGUAGUGGACAGCUCAGUACCAGGAAAGGAGCAGCACUGAACCUGAGUUCUUCCUAUCACAAACUUUCAGUGGAACAUAUACAUAUAUAUAUUAGGUAAGCAUCAUAUCCUAUACCAUUUAACCCUCAGCCAUUUAAUAUAUUUAUAAUAAAGUCAAGCACGAGUUCCUCAAGGAAAAGCAUCCAUGGGGUGCCCCACGUUUAACUAGCCAUGUUCUCUACAGACCACCAUUUUUAAAAGGCAAAUUUGGCUAUUUUAUAACUUGUUAUGUGAAAUGAGCUCACCGCUCUAAGGAAGACCACUGAUAAUAUUUGAUCUUAGUGAGAAAAUUCAAGAAUAUUGGAAAGUACUGUUUGACUGUGUUGAGCAUCAGAGAUUCUUCAGAUUCCAAGAAUUUCUUGUUGAGGAAAGUGUUAAAGUUAAGAUGCAGGAUGUGUUUCUAACUCUACUGUUGCUGUAAAAACAAAAACAAAAACAGAAACAAAACAAACAAACAACAACAACAAAACUCCACAAGCAACAGAACACCAUGAGCAAGGCAAACAUAGAAGAGAGAAUUUAUUUUGGCUUGUGGUUUCAAGGAUGAAAGUCCAUCAUGGUAGGAAAGCAUGAUAGUAAGGGGCAGGUUGGAGCAAGAAGCUUGCUGAUGAUGUCUCAGAACACGAAAUGGAGUUCAGAGAGAGUGGACUAGAAGUGAAGUGAGAUUAUAACUCACAAAGCCCAUAUUCAGUGAUACACUUCCUACGGAAAAGCUGUACUACCUCCUCAGGCACUGACAUUAGCCAGGGACCAAGGUGCCUAAGCCCGUGGGGGGGGGGGCGUCAUUUCUCAUUAAAAUCAUCACAAAUAUUCCAUGAGGAACCAUAUCAAGAUAGGGCAGUCUGAGUAACACAGUAAACCAAAGUUUUCCAAACAAUUGCUAUAUGCUGUGUAAAUGGUCCAUGGAAAGUGCUGCAUAGACCAGAGGCUUUUUGAAAAUAAUUAGAGUUUGUUAAUGUGGUUUUACAUUCCACUUAUUUCAGCUUGUUGAGUCUAACUCUGACUAUAUAAUGAAUUCUGUAAUAUGGACAUUUUCAGUGGAAAUGUCCUUAUUGUAACACCCCAAAUACAAGACUACACUUAAAUUAAUAUUUAUAUUGAAAUCAAGUAAAUAAAUAAAAAAGAAAUCCACAACCAUUUGAAGAGAUUAAAAUACUUUUUAAAGCAAGAAGUUCAUUGUUCUGGCUAGUUUUGUGUGUCAACUUGACACAAGCUGGAGUUAUCACAGAGAAAGGAGCAUACGUUGAGGAAAUGCCUCUGAGAUGCAGCUGUAAAGCAUUCUCUCAAUUAGUGAUCAAGGAUGGGAGGGCCCGACCAAGCCCAUUGUUGGUGGUGCCACCCCUGGGCUGGUAGUCCUGGGUUCUAUAAGAAAGCAGACUGAGCAAGCCAGGGGAAGCAAGCCAAUAAGUAACAUCCCUCCAUGGCCUCUGCAUAAGCUCCUGCCUACAAGUUCCUGCCCUAAGUGAGUUCCUGUCCUGACUUCCUUGGGUGAUGAACAGCAAUGUGAAAGUGUAAGCUGAAUAAACAUUUUCUUCUCCAACUUGCUUCUUAGUCAUGAUAUUUUGUGCAGGAAUAGAAACCCUUACUAAGACAUUGAUGUAAAUUUUUCUCCAUAUUUAUGUACUGCAACCCCAAAUAAAAUGUUAUUAUGUACAAGAGAAGUAGAUAUAAGAUUCCAGCUAUCUCCUAUUGAGCCAGAAACCAUUCAGAAUUUAAUGAAAAAAAAAGUAUAAAACACCGUUUUUGAAAAGGUUUUAUGGGGAGAGUAGAAUUGAAAAAUUUCUGUCAAUAUGGUUAUAAGUAUAAAUAUGUUAAUAUAGUAUGCAUUUAUUACUGUUAUUUUCAAGUGGAUCAAUGUAUAAUUUUUAAAAAUUAAAUUUAACUUUCACACUUGUAAAUACCAAUGAAUGUGACCUACAUGAGCAGUUCUUGAAAUCGUUAAUUUUUAAGAAUGAGGUCAUAAAAAAGGACAUAAAGCCAGUUUUUUUUUCUAGUUUUAGAUGUACCAUGGAUCUCUUGC
This is a long non-coding RNA of Mus musculus (house mouse), 7874 nucleotides long. RefSeq annotates it as predicted gene, 32974. Lineage: Eukaryota; Metazoa; Chordata; Mammalia; Rodentia; Muridae. The record is from RefSeq and is a predicted model, not a curated record. The transcript has 5 exons.